Molecule: ribosomal RNA, 277 nt
Filed under: uncultured bacterium
Lineage: Bacteria
Description: partial 16S ribosomal RNA
Rfam family: Bacterial small subunit ribosomal RNA
Source: RNAcentral
GAUAAACGCUGGCGGCGUGCCUAACACAUGCAAGUCGAACGCUCUGCGUAAGCAGAGAGUGGCGGACGGGUGAGGAACACGUGGGGAUCUACCCAGAGGUGAGGAAUACCGGCGAGAAAUCGCCGACAAUACCGCAUACGCUUCUUUCGAGAAGCAAAGCCGCAAGGCGCCUGUGGAUGAACCUGCGCCCGAUUAGUUGGUUGGUGGGGUCACGGCCUACCAAGACGACGAUCGGUAGCUGGUCUGAGAGGACGAUCAGCCACACUGGGAUUGAGAA